CCUGUGAGGCCCGGGGAUCCGAGCAGCCUCUUCACUGACCGGCUUCAGGCCACUGGGUUCCACAAUUGCAUCAGUGAUCCGAACAGCCUGUCUCCUCAGUGCCAAACAGCUGGACACUUAGAGAGGGGAGGCCAUUCAUGUCCAGACAUACAGGGUCUUGGUGAUAUUCCUUUGAAAAUAUCAGCUGAGGAACAGGAAGGCACAGACAUUUGCCCAAGCUCUGGGGGUGCAGGGAGCCAGAUGCACCUCAGAGUCCCGCGACUGGUGAAGUCGGACCCCAAUGUCAGCACCCAGGCUGCCCUGCUGCAUCCUCAUUGCCAGCCACGGGGACUGCUCUGCAUUCUGCUCUAUUCGCCCUGAGCUAACAUCUAUGACAACCUUCCUCUAUUUUGUACGUGUGUCAUCACCACAGCAUGGCCACUGACGAGUGAUGUAAGUCUGCACCCAGGGACUGAACCCAGGCUGCCAAAGCACAGCAUGCCAAACUUAACCACUAGGCCACAGGGCCGGCCCCUG
RNAcentral lists this long non-coding RNA (516 nucleotides) under Equus caballus (horse). Its description in RNAcentral is "lncRNA (ENSECAG00000060203.1)". Lineage: Eukaryota; Metazoa; Chordata; Mammalia; Perissodactyla; Equidae. The record is from RNAcentral.